RNAcentral lists this ribosomal RNA (912 nucleotides) under Synergistes jonesii. Its description in RNAcentral is "bacterial SSU rRNA". It matches the Rfam family "Bacterial small subunit ribosomal RNA", at positions 8 to 916 of the family's 1533-position model. Lineage: Bacteria; Thermotogati; Synergistota; Synergistia; Synergistales; Synergistaceae. The record is from RNAcentral.
AGAGUUUGAUCAUGGCUCAGAUUGAACGCUGGCGGCAGGCCUAACACAUGCAAGUCGAGCGGUAGAGAGAAGCUUGCUUCUCUUGAGAGCGGCGGACGGGUGAGUAAUGCCUAGGAAUCUGCCUGGUAGUGGGGGAUAACGUCCGGAAACGGACGCUAAUACCGCAUACGUCCUACGGGAGAAAGCAGGGGACCUUCGGGCCUUGCGCUAUCAGAUGAGCCUAGGUCGGAUUAGCUAGUUGGUGGGGUAAUGGCUCACCAAGGCGACGAUCCGUAACUGGUCUGAGAGGAUGAUCAGUCACACUGGAACUGAGACACGGUCCAGACUCCUACGGGAGGCAGCAGUGGGGAAUAUUGGACAAUGGCGAAAGCCUGAUCCAGCCAUGCCGCGUGUGUGAAGAAGGUCUUCGGAUUGUAAAGCACUUUAAGUUGGGAGGAAGGGCAGUAAAUUAAUACUUUGCUGUUUUGACGUUACCGACAGAAUAAGCACCGGCUAACUCUGUGCCAGCAGCCGCGGUAAUACAGAGGGUGCAAGCGUUAAUCGGAAUUACUGGGCGUAAAGCGCGCGUAGGUGGUUCGUUAAGUUGGAUGUGAAAUCCCCGGGCUCAACCUGGGAACUGCAUUCAAAACUGACGGGCUAGAGUAUGGUAGAGGGUGGUGGAAUUUCCUGUGUAGCGGUGAAAUGCGUAGAUAUAGGAAGGAACACCAGUGGCGAAGGCGACCACCUGGACUGAUACUGACACUGAGGUGCGAAAGCGUGGGGAGCAAACAGGAUUAGAUACCCUGGUAGUCCACGCCGUAAACGAUGUCAACUAGCCGUUGGGAGCCUUGAGCUCUUAGUGGCGCAGCUAACGCAUUAAGUUGACCGCCUGGGGAGUACGGCCGCAAGGUUAAAACUCAAAGGAAUUGACGG